UUGAUGGCACAGACGCUAUAAUGGCACAGAUACAAAGAUGAGUCCUUUAUCUAUCUCUAUGGUGUAGACACAGCGCCAUUUCGUGAUAACUGUUUCAGUUCAAGCCAAGGUAUGUUACAGUAGUAGCAGCCUACUGAAUUGGAAACGGAUCAUAUAAGACACCCCAAGUAAGACAACGUCGAAAUUGUACUCCUUUUUAAAUUAUUAAACUCCUGAAACAGGCAGGAAGGCAGACCACGCCCGUCCAGGGCACAGGCAAUAUGGACCAGUCUCUCACCUCCAGUAGUAUGAUGUCCGGCAACGUGACCAACAAGACGGACCCUCGCUCGCUCCAUUCCCGGGUUUUCAUCGGGAACCUCAACACACUCCUGGUCACCAAGGCAGAUGUAGAGGCCAUCUUCAGCAAGUACGGCAAGAUCGUGGGCUGCUCCGUCCACAAGGGGUUCGCGUUCGUCCAGUACGCCAACGAGAGGAACGCCCGGGCCGCUGUAGGCGGCGAGGACGGGAGGAUGAUUGUAGGACAGGUGCUAGACAUUAACCUCGCUUGUGAACCGAAGCCUCAGAGAUCGAAGACGGUUAAGCGCUCCGCAGGAGACAUAUACAGUUCUUCAUUUGAUUUGGACUAUGACUUCCAGAGAGAUUACUAUGACAGGAUGUACUCGUACCAUUCCCGUGUGCCCCCUCCGCCUCCUCCCCUGUCCCGGCCAGUGAUCCCCUCCAAACAGCCCCGGGUCAGUUUGAGUGGAGGUGGAGGUGGAGGGGGCAGCCGACGCACCAAGACUAGCUUCUCAUCUUCCACCUCCAGGAGCAGCCAGAGCAGGACCUCGACCUCACGCACCAUGAAAGCAGACGACCUGCAGACCAUCAAGAGAGAGCUGACCCAGAUCAAACACAAGGUGGACUACCUGCUGGAGAGUCUGGAACGCAUGGAGAAGGACCACAGCAAGAAGUCAGACAUGAAGAGUAGUGGGAAGCCGGAGCCCGGGGAGGUGUCUCCUCUCCUCAACUGCGGAGGAAAGGAGGAAAGCCUGAAGAGGGAGAGAGAGAACCAGUCUCUCAACGACUCAGAAGAGGAGGGAGACCUACUGGAGGAACAGGAGGGAUCUUUACAGCACUUUCAGCUGCUACAUGAGAAAUGGAACAGCUAUUGCCAAUGGAUAUGAUCACAACUCCAGCGAUGGUGAUGACAUGGUGAGCACUGUGUCCUUGGAGGUCGGGAAUCAGGUCUGGGUGACUCAUCGAUCACACUCACAUUGGGGAUGAGGAACUGAUCACCACCUUCAAUGGCUUUCUGCUCUUCCCCAUGCGAGGAGAGAGCAGGGCCCGCAUUCAUAAAGUGUCUCAGAGUAGGAGUGCUGAUCUAGGAUCUGUUUUCCUUUUUAGAUCAUAAUGAAUCAGGGCCCUGGUGUGUAGAAGGCAAUACAGUGUAGAGAACCUUACAUAUGUGUCUGUACAGCCAAUGUUAGAAAUGUCAGCUUUGCAUAAUACAUUACAGCUAACAAAUAAUUUCCAUGCAAUAUUAAAUCUGUGCACUGUUACUAUGAAAUACAUUAUUGUGGAGGAGGGAAUGCUUAUUUUGAUCAAAAUGACAGAGAAGAUGACACGAAAAAAGUACAUGUGUUUGUGUUGUAUCCGUUGCCAGUGUUUAUGUUGACUUUCUUGUGACUAAGGUGAUAGUGGUGCCAUGGAGUCGAAGAGUUCCACCAUCAAGUCCAACUGGAAAAUAUACCUUUGGUUGAUCUAAGGGUAUAACAGACAAAAACAGGAACUGAAACAAGCGGGUCCACAUGUACCUUUGCAUCUGUAAUGAAAUGAACAGCAGAGGUUGUAGAUGUCAUCCCGCUGUUUAUCCUUGAAUCUACAUAAAUAUAAAGGUAGGCCUACAUAUAAGGACGUCCAACAUCAAUCUCUUUCUCUAUACAAUAGCCAUUGACCACGUUUGAUAAAAUAACUACAUUAUAAUUUAUAGCUAAUCACAGAUUAAACACAUUUUCCCUGAGGGAUCCUUGGAAUACAUUGAGGGCGUAAUACAAUACAAUGUAAUAUUAUUAAUCAACAAUUUAUGUUCUUAACCCUGGGAAACAUGGGCCUGGGAGUCUCACAGGGAUAUUGGUAUGCACAGUUGAUAGAAGAAUUUAAAUGUAAUGACUAAAGUAUUACAUCCCGGAACCAUUGAUAACUGUGUGAAAUGUAUUAUAAUAAUAAGACUAUAAUCUAGUAAUGUGUGUGCGUAGGACAAAUUAAGAUUAUGACAUGGUGUUACUAUUUAGCAAUAUGAGUAGGAGUUAGGUCAGACAACAAAGGAGACGGAGAGCUGUCGACAGACAACUUUUGACAACUGUGAAACCAAUAAUAGGAAAUAGGCCUCCCAACUCAGGGAGGGGAGAAACCGUUAGGCUUGGAGAAGAUUAUGAAACAUGUUGCAGAAUUGACAUAACAAAUAUGUGUACAGUGGAAAAAUACAGCCCGCCUAAAGCGGGGUGGGAUUCUUGUCUGACGUAUGUGUAUAAAAGAUGGACUCUGGACUUGAGAGGGCAGAGCGCUCUCUGAAUAAAGCCUGAUAAUUGUAAACUG
Coregonus clupeaformis (lake whitefish) is the source of this 2574-nucleotide RNA transcript. It is a transcript of the gene named heterogeneous nuclear ribonucleoprotein C, with no coding region annotated. The transcript has 12 exons. Lineage: Eukaryota; Metazoa; Chordata; Actinopteri; Salmoniformes; Salmonidae. The record is from RefSeq and is a predicted model, not a curated record.